GCUGAAAGAAUCAUUUUUCUUGCUCGGAUUGAUUUCAUCGUCAUCGUCAACUACAUAUACAACGUGACCGGAAGGAACAAACCUCUUCCUCUCACGCUCAAUGUAUGGGGCGGGCAUAUGUAUAAGCGUGCGCGAGAGGAAGAGGUUUUAAACGUAAACCAGAAGAAGAAUAAGAAGAAGAAGAAAGAAGAAAGAAACCUGUUUAUCCUCUAACUGCAGCUAAUCCUAAAACCACACCAACUGAUUGACCGAAUCAUCAUCAUCAUCGUCGUCAUCAUCCUUCUUUUUUUCACGGGUUAUUGACAUCAUCGUCGGCGGCUUAUUCAUACCCCGUUUCCUUCCUCGAAGGUGACCCGGAGCUGCACGGGCCACGGCCGGUGCUGCGACGGCGCGCUCGCCAGCCCCUGCAGCAUCUUGAUCACGUCCACCGUGUCGUCCAGGUAGUACUUGGCCAUGCUCGGCUUCUUCCCCACGGUGCACGCAAACACCUCGCUCGUCGCCGGGAGCUUCACGCUGCCGUUGGCCGGGCACACGAUGCUCUCGAACAUGUCCUCGUCGGACCGGUCGUCCCCGAUGCAGAGCACGAAGUCGGGGGCCUUGCCGCCGCGCACCAUGGACGACAGGAGGCUCUCCACCACCACGCCCUUGCUGAUGCCCUGCACGACCACGACGGAGAGGAGAGAUAUUUCAUCCAUGUCAAAACAAGACAACGAUACACAGAUGGUGGUGGUGCCGGCAAGUGAUACACAGAUGCUGCUACUUUCUAAAAUAAAAUCAAAUAGCGCCACGCAAGUUGCUCUCCUCCAAAUCCAAACCCAGUGGGGACAAAACGGGCGUUUCUUCCACGAAUUCCCCUGUCCACGCCGGCGAAAUGGCCCACCCGCCGAUCCAACAAAUCCGUGUCGUGGAGAGGAUAUAGAUUGUUCCGGGGGGGCAAUCAAGCAUGUGGCGGUGUGGUCUGGUGGAUGAGGACUGGAUCGGAUUGGAUUGGAUCAGAUCUGAUCGGAUCAAUCCUUAUCCGUUGCCUUUAGUUGGACAGCUACGUUUGGUUGUUUAGCUGUUGUUCAACAUGUUUUAUAGUGGUGCCAAGUCUACGACCCCGAUUAAUUAUUUUUCCAUUUGACCGACUAGCAGCAGCCCAAUUGAUCAACUCUAAAUAAAACUGUAGAACAACAGUUUGCACGCGCAUUACCUGGGGGUUAACCUCCACGAUGUGCUGGCCCCUCUUCACCACGACCGGCUCGUUGGCGAGCACGCUCUCGAGAUGGUCGAGCAGCUCCUUCGCCUGGCACGAACCGAAGUCCGGAUCGGCCUCGUCGUGGUGCCACACCAGCGCGCUCUCCUUGUGCUCGAUGUACGAUCCGUCGGUGGCCUCCGUGUACAGUCUCAUCACCGGCUCGGCGGUCUUCUUCCAGUCGAAGUCCGCCACCAGCCCGCAGGUCUCCCAUGGCGAUUCCUUGCUCCACCUGCAAUGAAGAAUUGGCCAGGGUUAUAUCAAUGGACGUCACUAUUCUGCAACCACAAACAAAAGAUUUGAAUGCUCUCUUCUAACUAAAGCCUAAAGGGAUACUGGAACAGUAACCGUCUAUGCUUAGGUUCAUGGGCGAAAUCAAUCACUUCUCACCCUCCAGAACCGUAACCUCCCAAGGUUGUUCCGGAAGCAAGAAUGUCGACGGUUCGAGGCUGGUUUCGGAGGAGCUAUGCUCUAGCUGUGAAUCUAGACCGGUUGGUUGCUACUCAUUUUUAUGCAUCUUGAAAAUGUUUUCUUGGAUGACACUGUUUGUUGUGCUACUUUGCUUAAUUCGCAUGCUUUCCUACGGAUUUUAUCCAAACCAUCAAAAGCGGUCAACAAGGAUCCGGAGCAAAGCAACACCGUACCAACUAGCAGUACAUCUUUACCGACAAGUGUCUAGAGAUCUCACCUAGUGAAGUAGCCGUGCUCUGCAGCAAUCCCCAGCUUCUCACAUGGCGCGAACCACUUGCUCAGCUCAUCCUUCCCCCGACCGCUCACGAUGAACACCCUGUUCUUCGGGUCUUCGCACAGACGAUUCAAGACGGAGAUGACCUCACUGCUCGGCGCCUUGUCGAUGGAGCUCUCCGGCAUCACGGUCCCAUCGUAGUCCAGGAGAAUCAGCCGGUUCUCCGUCUUUCUGAACGACGGCACAAUGUGCUCGACGGAAAGCCGCCUGAAAUUUGGGCCGAGCGCCACCACCUUGAAGCUCAUCCCGAAACCAAUCCCCCAAUGCCGGCGCGAGAAAUGGUCCUUGCAGGCUCGCUGCAGGUCCUGGUCGAACGAGCGCGCCCAGUAGGCCACAUCAUGGGUGCUCACAUACUUGUAAUGCUUCUCGUGCCGCAGCCGCUGCUCGCCGUCGGACAUCCUCAAUGCCGAGCUCAUGGCCUCGGCGACGGACUCCACGCUCCAUGGGUUCACCCGGAUCGCCCCGCUGAGCGACGGCGAGCAUCCCACGAACUCAGACAGCACGAUGACGCUCCGCUUAGGGGCGUCCCCCAGGGCGGUGCUCUCCUGCCGGCACACCGUGUAGAUGUACGGAAUCCGGUUGAGCCCGUCGCGGACGGCGCUCACCACGCAGCACUCGGCGGCGGCGUAGUAGGCCGCCUUCUCGUGCUCCGACACCGGGCGGCUGAUCAUCACGAUCGGGGUGUACCCGGGGCUGCCGAAGCGCUCGUUGACCCGGGCGCUGAUGGCUCUGGCCUCGUCCUGCACCUCCUGCACGUCCCGGCCCUCGCUGCGCGCCGGAUUGGUGAUCUGCACGAGCACGGCCUUGCCGCGGAGCUCAGGGUUCUCCACCAGGAGCUGCUCCAUCCCCAGGAACUUGAGCCCGAUCCCCUUGAAGAGGUCGACGUCGUCC
This 2870-nucleotide long non-coding RNA is filed under the name Triticum aestivum (bread wheat). RNAcentral describes it as "long non-coding RNA (TAES_LNC010820)". The record is from RNAcentral. Lineage: Eukaryota; Viridiplantae; Streptophyta; Magnoliopsida; Poales; Poaceae.